Molecule: small RNA, 91 nt
Filed under: Marmota monax (woodchuck)
Lineage: Eukaryota; Metazoa; Chordata; Mammalia; Rodentia; Sciuridae
Source: RNAcentral
AUCGCUUCUCGGCCUUUUGGCUAAGAUCAAGUGUAAAAAGAUACUUUAAAAACUAGAAAGCUCUUUUUAAAAAAUACUGCCCUAAAUAUUU